AGCGAACGCUGGCGGCAUGCCUAACACAUGCAAGUCGCACGGGGGGGCUUCGGCCUCCCAGUGGCGGACGGGUGAGGAACGCGUAGGGACCUGUCGAGGGGUGGGGGAUAACCGCGGGAAACUGCGGCUAAUACCGCAUGACGCCGCGGCGUGACAGCCGGGGCCAAAGGCGAGAGCCGCCCGCCGAGGGGGCUUCGGCCGAUUAGCUGGUUGGCGGGGUAGCGGCCCACCAAGGCGUCGAUCGGUAGCUGGGCUGAGAGGGUGACCAGCCACACCGGGACUGAGACACGGCCCCGACUCCUACGAGAGGCAGCAGUUGGGAAUAUUGCACAAUGGGCGCAAGCCUGCGCCAGCAACGCCGCGUGGGUGAAGAAGGUCUUCGGAGUGUAAAGCCCCGUCGGCGGGGACGAUGGUGACGGUACCCGCAGAAGAAGCCCCGGCUAACUUCGUG
RNAcentral lists this ribosomal RNA (451 nucleotides) under uncultured bacterium. RNAcentral describes it as "partial 16S ribosomal RNA". It matches the Rfam family "Bacterial small subunit ribosomal RNA", at positions 28 to 507 of the family's 1533-position model. The record is from RNAcentral.